RNAcentral lists this ribosomal RNA (274 nucleotides) under uncultured bacterium. RNAcentral's name for it is "partial 16S ribosomal RNA". It matches the Rfam family "Bacterial small subunit ribosomal RNA", at positions 523 to 796 of the family's 1533-position model. The record is from RNAcentral.
AUACGGAGGGUCCAAGCGUUAAUCGGAAUUACUGGGCGUAAAGCGUACGUAGGUGGCUUGAUUAGUCGGAUGUGAAAGCCCUGGGCUCAACCUGGGAACUGCAUUCGAUACUGUCAGGCUAGAGUAUAGUAGAGGGAAGUGGAAUUCCGGGUGUAGCGGUGAAAUGCGUAGAUAUCCGGAGGAACACCAGUGGCGAAGGCGGCUUCCUGGACUAAUACUGACACUGAGGUACGAAAGCGUGGGGAGCAAACAGGAUUAGAAACCCCAGUAGUCC